UCUCCGUAGGUGAACCUGCGGAGGGAUCAUUACAAGUGACCCCGGUCUUACCACCGGGAUGUUCAUAACCCUUUGUUGUCCGACUCUGUUGCCUCCGGGGCGACCCUGCCUUCGGGCGGGGGCUCCGGGUGGACACUUCAAACUCUUGCGUAACUUUGCAGUCUGAGUAGACUUAAUUAAUAAAUUAAAACUUUUAACAACGGAUCUCUUGGUUCCG
RNAcentral lists this unclassified non-coding RNA (217 nucleotides) under plant metagenome. Its description in RNAcentral is "partial contains small subunit ribosomal RNA, internal transcribed spacer 1, and 5.8S ribosomal RNA". The record is from RNAcentral.